This 809-nucleotide ribosomal RNA is filed under the name uncultured bacterium. Its description in RNAcentral is "bacterial SSU rRNA". It matches the Rfam family "Bacterial small subunit ribosomal RNA", at positions 1 to 803 of the family's 1533-position model. The record is from RNAcentral.
UAGAGUUUGAUCCUGGCUCAGGAUGAACGCUAGCUACAGGCUUAACACAUGCAAGUCGAGGGGAAACGGCAUUGAGUGCUUGCACUCUUUGGACGUCGACCGGCGCACGGGUGAGUAACGCGUAUCCAACCUUCCCAUUACUGUGGGAUAACCCGCCGAAAGGCAGACUAAUACCGCAUAGUCUUCGAUGACGGCAUCAGAUUUGAAGUAAAGAUUUAUCGGUAAUGGAUGGGGAUGCGUCUGAUUAGCUUGUUGGCGGGGUAACGGCCCACCAAGGCGACGAUCAGUAGGGGUUCUGAGAGGAAGGUCCCCCACAUUGGAACUGAGACACGGUCCAAACUCCUACGGGAGGCAGCAGUGAGGAAUAUUGGUCAAUGGACGGAAGUCUGAACCAGCCAAGUAGCGUGCAGGAUGACGGCCCUAUGGGUUGUAAACUGCUUUUGUAUGGGGAUAAAGUUAGGGACGUGUCCCUAUUUGCAGGUACCAUACGAAUAAGGACCGGCUAAUUCCGUGCCAGCAGCCGCGGUAAUACGGAAGGUCCAGGCGUUAUCCGGAUUUAUUGGGUUUAAAGGGAGCGUAGGCUGGAGAUUAAGUGUGUUGUGAAAUGUAGACGCUCAACGUCUGACUUGCAGCGCAUACUGGUUUCCUUGAGUACGCACAACGUUGGCGGAAUUCGUCGUGUAGCGGUGAAAUGCUUAGAUAUGACGAAGAACUCCGAUUGCGAAGGCAGCUGACGGGAGCGCAACUGACGCUUAAGCUCGAAGGUGCGGGUAUCAAACAGGAUUAGAUACCCUGGUAGUCCGCACAGU